GCCUACGACCAUAUCACCCUGAAUGCGCCCGAUCUCGUCUGAUCUCGGAAGCUAAGCAUGGUCGAGCCUGGUUAGUACUUGGAUGGGAGACUGCCUCGGAAUACCAGGUGUUGUAGGCU
Molecule: ribosomal RNA, 119 nt
Filed under: Petromyzon marinus (sea lamprey)
Lineage: Eukaryota; Metazoa; Chordata; Hyperoartia; Petromyzontiformes; Petromyzontidae
Source: RNAcentral